AACUGUAAAAAAAUAAAGAGAGCUACAUGCGGGCAUCCUCAUAAUAGAAUUCAGAUUCGAUGGUAUUCACAUUGGUUAAAGCAAACAAAGGCAGUCUGCAACAUUUGGCAGACAACAAAUAGAUACCAACAGAGACGUUAGAAACAAUCAAGGCAACUGAAUGCAAGACAACCCACAAUUGAAAUGAUACAAUUUUUACAUGCAAUUUUUACUAAAAUCAAAAAUCAAUCAUAUAAAUAUCUACUAGUGUUAAAAUACGAAUCAGUUAGUUCAUAGAAGGAACUUAGUUAAGAUAUUAAAACUAAUUUAUACCAAUUUGAUGACAUGUUUGUAGGACUUUAACACAACGUAUCAACCAACUCAUCCUUCCUUUUCAAAAACCUUACAACUGUCUCCAGAAAAUACCGGAUGUAACUACAGGGAAAUAACAGAAAAUGUUCUCGCGAACCUUUUGAAUUGUACUAUCAGACUAUGCAUAUACACUGCCAAACUAUCUGGAUGUUUUUUUUUUUUUUUUUGAGAAAACUAUCUGGAUGUAUUGCUAACAAGAAUUGUGUGUUAGCUAUCUGCCAACCUACUUUAAGGACAGUUUUUAUUUAUAAUAUCCUUUAUUAAUAGUUCAGUUAUAUCAUUAUGUUAUUCACUUCAAAUACGUUCCAUAGUUCCCACUUAUGCAUCUAUACCGCAAUCAAGUAAGGGCAAUGGGAUCAAAUAGGACCUAAUUCUACAGUACAUCUUUGAUCUUCCUUCUUUAGUAAGGGUAAGUCCUGUCCCCUAUUCACCAUUAAUAUGAAGUUCUUCAAGGAGCAGGAUUGAGAUCUAAACCAUGUAAUUGUUCUGAUCAAGCCCUAUAUUUGGGUUUCCAUUCGUUGCCAACACUUGUUCCUCACACUUGCAGACUUGCUUUACGGUCAUUCUUUGUAACCAUUCUCACCACUACAAGAAUGCUUACUAAAUAAUUCACAGAAAACUACGGAAAGGAGGAUAUGCACGGUCCGAAGAUCCCAAUAGUUUGGUCAUUCCUAGGCAAUCAUACACUUAGCGAAAAAAAAAGCAUCAAGAAAAAAGAGAGUCAUGCUACAUGCUAAUAAGCGACAGUGUAGAAGUACAAUUAGCAGGCUUAGCCCAAUCCAUGUAAGGGUAUAGGCAGCAAUUCUACAAAACCCUUCUUCUUCAUAUAUUAUUAUUAAAACUUUCUGUGUGUUGAAAGAAUCCUUUUUCUAACUUACAUGUUGCACCCUGAAUCUGUCUAAUAUAAGUAACAAAACAGCCGACAUAGAAAUCCUAUUUGGAAAUCAAACUAGCAAACGAAUAAGAACUAAGCUUCCAAACGAUCCUAGGCGUACAACAAUACAGUACAGAGGGUCGUCUAAGAGAAGUAUAUGACAGAGUUGUGCAAAAUCUCACGAUCCUGGAACCGGCAUCCGGUUGAACAACAGCAAAGAGGCAUUAGAUCAAUCUGAGCAGAAACAAUACUCUUUUUUCUUGUGUUCGUUUUCAUUUUCAUUUAAAAAAGACUAAACAGUAGCCAGCAAGCACCAAAAAAAAAAAAAGGAAGCUAAAUACGUAUAUAUAUAUAUAUUUAGAUCGGCGGGCAGAAUAUCAUCGACAAUAUACAGAGCUGCAACUAGAAUGAAUGAAAUCAAUCAUUCAUGCCACCUGUAGUAUUUGUAUGAAAUAUGGACUAGUAAUAAAAGCAUCGUGGGGAGAAGCAACUGCAAACGGACGGACGGACGGAAGGGGCGAAUUGAUGAUUAUUACGGAACUAUGAGAGGGGAAGGAGGAAAAAAAAAAAAAGAAAGGAAGGAAUUGUUUCGGAGAUUAUCAAAAGGGCUGGAGGACGGGCCUCUUGCCGAGGCGCUUGAUCUCCCUGUCCAUGCGGCCGGAGAGCAUGAGGGCGAACAUCUUGAAGUCGCAGAGGAGGGACCAGAGGGGGUGGCCGAAGGUGGCGGGGGCGUUGCGCUCGACGAAGAAGUGGCUGUACCAGGCCAGGCCGUAGCCCAGCAGGGGCCCCAGCAGGAGCAGCCAGAGCCGCCCCCACAGCACCGACCCCGCCACGCACACCACCCCGCACAGCGUCCCCGCGAAGUGCCACCGCCGCGUCGACGCCUUCGAGUGCUGGCUCACGUAGAACGCCCAGAACUCCUCCAGGUUCCGGAAAUUCAUGCCUUCUCUUCUUCUUCUUCUUCUUCUUCUUCUUUUUCUUUUUUCCCCUCUCUAUCAGAUCCGAACCGAUUUCUGUCCUCCCUCCCUAACUCCUAAUCAGCGCAAUUCCCGACUUCUUCCGCUGGCUCGAACCUAGUCGGGAAAUCGUCAGUCGUCGGAGGAGGACAAAGGCUUAGGCUGGAGGAAAAGGCAGAAAAGGAAUAAAAAACAAUGGGCCGGUAAGGCCGAGGGAAAGACUGUCGCCUGAACCUGGUCCACCACAGACCUAUCGACAAAAUAGUAGCACUUUAAAAAAAAAAAAAAAAAAACAGCGUCGAUAAUUAUGAGGUCACUAUGAUGAUGAUGAUGGCAAUUAUUAUUAUUAUUAUUCUAUUUUUUUAUUAUUAUAUUAUUUAAUAUUAAUGGAUUGUAAAAGAUUUUUUGGUUUUUCAAAAUCACGACCCGGCCGUUUUUGUGUGGUGGUGAACGCGGUCCAGCAAUUAUUCUCGCCGGUGAAGGGCAGGUUAGCCGGGACUCGGGAGGAUAGAUGAGUCUUCUUGCGGCCGCGGUCAUUUGACGAAGCUCAGUUCCAAGCACCGGACUCAAUUUGAGCGAGUAUCCACGGGAUGACCGGCUCGGUUGAUUUGACGCGGUGCAUCGGGCGCAGCUCAAAAAUCAUGAUCUUGUGAGCUCUUCAGCUUGAUGCAACAAACCUUCCAUAGACAAUACAUCCAUAUGGGUGAGAUAAAGCUCUUACUUCGGAGACAAAGCUGCUAAUGUUACUAAUAACAUAUAUUUUAUUUAUUGCGUGAAUAAUAGCAAACUGAGCAAACGUCGCUAAUUCAGUAAAGAUGCAAUUUGAGAAAUUGCUUAGGCCCGGUCCGUAUCGAAGAAGAAUGUUUCUGUAAUCCUCUUGCUUUACUACUUUUUUGGGCCAAAAAAUAAUUAUGUAAGAGAGAAGUUCGUUCUCUGUUCGAGAUCAAUGGGCCGGGCUAAACAUUCCGGUCUCGUAUGUGGCCCAACCCCGGCGAGCGAAUAAACCGAGUUUAAUAGCGCUUCGGAAUCCGUCCCUCCAGAAGCUUCUCCUCGCCACGCCGCAUAUAUAACGUCCUCUAUUCGGCCUUCCCAACUGCACGAGUAGAUACGGCAAAGCCUUUGAGGCGGUGCAAGAGAAGCGAACGAGAGAGCGGCCAUUCGACUUCCUCAAGGUAUGCCUUUUUAAUUCUACCUUUUUCACCAUCUUCUUAUUAGCGGCUUUCAAGACGAUCUGGAAAUUUCCGGACGCCAUAUUUCCUGCGGGAUUUCGUAAGCUUGAAGCAGUGAUCUCCAACGUUGUGCUUUUAUCGGAUUCAUUGAGUAUUUUAAGGUGAAGAUCCGUAGGCUUUUGUAAUUUUGUAUACACUAAGUGGUUGUUGCUGAAGAAGAUGAUACAGCAAUCUAGAGGAACAGUGGUUGUUGUUCACUGUUAUUUGUUGACUACCAAUCUGGCUCGUCUCGAUCGAUUAGAUAGGAGCAUUGAAAUAUCUGUACCUGUGAUGUCUUAGACAAACGUCUGUUUUAUUAGUUUACCUCGUUUUCUUCUCUUUUUUUUUUUAGUUUCUUUUGUUGUACAUUAUUCUAUGUGAUUCAACCCCUACUGCAGUCUGUUGGCUCAAUAUUUUUCUUCCGCAAAUCUUCUAACUAAUAUCAUAUAAUUUUGCGAGGAACGAUUAUUAUAUGUUUCAUAUAUUCGAAGCUAUUAGCCAUUGGAAUUUAAAGGGCUGAAAAGUCCUGGAGUUUCAGUACGAAAGAGGGGUGCAAAAAGCAGAUGAAGUUUCAAAGUAACAAGUUACCAAUGAAAGUAUGAUAAUUAUCAAAUGGCACUACGCUUUAAUAUUUAGCUAUUAUUAUAAUAAGUCAGAACAAAGCAUACUAGCGGAAAAAGAGAAAAUAACACUGCAUGUAAUAUCUUUAACAGUUAUUGUUGCACAAGCAUGCUCUCUCUGUAAAUCAUCGUGCAAUAUAAAGACAUUGUAUAUUUAUUAUUUUUUAUAAACUGUUCUCAUUUUUAUUGAAUAUGUGUCGAGUGUUUUGGAUGUAUUCUGCAAUAGUUAACUAAUACUGAGAUUGCGUGUCAUCAUAUGAUUAGUUCGGGACUGUAGUAGGCUUAGUUGCCUAUAUUUAUUAGAUUGUUUUCCAUUCCUGUACUUUUAGAUUUGAUUUAAUUCACAGGAACAGUAGGCCAAUUCCCUUUGCCCAAGGGAUGGUUUGUCAAAAAGGGGAAGAAAAAGGAACAACACUUUUUAAUUCUUAUCUGUACAUGAUAGAGAUGAUAAUUUGGAUUGUGGGUCACAGUGUGUUCUCCCAUCCGGUAUCGGGUGAACUCGAGAAUUGUUCCUUAACAUUGACAACGGGACUUCAAUUAUGUAGACAAAUAAUUUGUAUGAUAAUUGUUUUCGAGUUCCCGUUGUGGGUUGACUUCUGGUUUCUUAUAGUAAUUUUGGGUCUUGUUUGAAUUAUGAGUACUAAUGGAAGACCUAUACAUGUACCAAAAAACUAUCAAUUAUUUGUGGCGGGCCAUUAGUGCCUUUGAGGCUUGCAAUGAUGGUGUGAAUCAUACUUGCAUCUGGUACCUGAGCUGAGGCACGCACCUCUACGAGGCACUUCUCAGAGAUAAUACAAGGCCUUGUGCCUAGGCACCAAGGUGUGUCUUUUCACACUGUGUACGCUAUUACAAAACACAAGUUAACUUUGAUGUCAACAAAUCUUGUUCAUAGAGUGGUAAAAUCCAAAAUAAAAUGUUAUAUUUUCUAAUUCAAAGUAGAGAGGUGCUUCAGUUUGGACAUCAUGGGAAGAUGUCGUUAGAGUAUCUGGGUUUCACUAGUUGUUGAAGACUUCGGUUAGGAAUAUAUUUUUUGGAGUCUCUACUCUCUAUUAUGUAGUGCGAAGAUGUUGAUUGAAGAUGUUUUCUUUCUUCCAAUUGACGAGUUCUAUUUCUUGUUUGUUGUUGCGUAAUCGUGUAUUAAUUGUUGUGCGAUAUGCCGUUGUCUGUCUUUUUGUUUAUAGUUAAGCUUUUUCAUGUUUACCUUAUGUACUACUCCCUCAACUAAAGCUGCACUCUAUAUCUUGUCCUUUAACUUGCUAUAUUGAAAAUUAGUUGUAAGCUUUCUGUCUGUUAAUUCUCAUUAUCUUAGUAGUUUCUAAUUGUUAAUCUUGUUUCUCUGUGACAGAUGCCUUGCUCGAGAAAAUCAAGGUUAGCAUUUAUUUAUAUUCGCUACUUUUGAUUAAUUUUGUUGAACUUCUACCGAUUGUGCUUAUGGCGUCAUGUUGUGUAACUUAUUAUUUCAAGUACACAGGUAUUCCUCCCACUCCCGCUCUUAUUCACCAUAUCGUUUCAGCAGGUCAGUUUCCCAGUCUUUUUCAAGGUCAAGGAGCCGCUCGAGGUACUUUUGCUACCACGCUGUGCUUUGAAGGUUGGGUCAUUUUCUAACAGUACUUUUAUAUAAAUGGUUGUUGAUGAAAUUUGCUUUCAAUUGUUUUGGUAGAAGUAGGGAUUCAAGUGAUGCAGAAAAUCCUGGCAACAACUUGUAUGUGACUGGUUUGUCACCUCGAAUUACAAAGGAUGACUUGGAAAAGCACUUUGCAACUGAAGGAAAGGUACAGUUUUCGUAUGCUUCUAUAGUCUUUCAAGGCUGGACUUUAAAUGUUUCCUUUGAUGGAUCUUCCUUCCGACAUCGACAGGUGGUUGAUAUUCACCUAGUACUCGAUCCUUGGACAAGGGAAUCACGUGGUUUUGGAUUUGUUACAAUGGCCAGGAUAGAAGAUGCAGACCGGUGCAUCAAGUAUCUGGACCGAUCAGUCUUAGAAGGACGGGUUAUUACUGUUGAAAAGGUAAACAAAUAGGUGACAAUCUUUUUUGUCUUUUGCAGAGCUUUGGCUGUCUGUUGUUGCUACGUAUAAGCAAUUUAUUCAUAUUUAAGCUGAUGUGUCUGAGGGUUGCGAGAUUUUCUUUUUCGAUUGAGGUUUUUUUCACAGCAGGAUAGAUGUCAGUAAGCUGCUCUUCAUCAAACUUCAAAAGCAUUACCACAACAUUAACAACUCAAAUCACACUACCUCAAGCAAAUACCAGACUUUAUAACCAAGGGUUGUAUGCCCUGCAUUACUGUUCUUUUUUAUAUUCGCUCUCGAAUGCAGAAUCUCAAUUUUGUUUUCCACAGGGUUUGAAACUAUGACUAGUGGUGCUAUUCUAUGCUCCUACUGAUAUUAUUUUUAUCUCUUCAGGCAAGGAGAAGGUGGGGUCGAACUCCUACCCCUGGCCGCUACCUUGGGAUGAGAUCCGCACAUGGUAAGCUGCCUGCCAUUAUCUAGAGUCAUCCUCCCUCUUCUUUUAAGGUAAAAUGUAUGGAUGGUCCAUGUACUACACCGAUAUUGUGACGUAGUUCCUGGACUAGAACAGCUUAGUUCCUAAACUUUCCCAUGUAUUGCAAUUCCAUUGCUGACUAUUGAAAGUAAAUAUGACAUCCAGGGACUUCUUGUUUGCAAACGAUCAUUUUAGCUAUGUUCCAAGUAAAGCGAAACAAAGGAUAAAAUUUUAUGUAGAAACAAGCAUUGUGUGAUUGAGUAAUAAAUUCACAAUAUGGGAUUACUAUCCUUAUAUUCAAACCCUUUUGUAUAAUGCCAUUAUACUUUUUUGGCUCAACAUCUAGUUGUUUUGUUUUGAUAUGCCAGGACGGCGUCAUUCCCCAAGCUACUCGCCCCAUUGGAGGGGCCGUUAUCGCUCUCCCUACUCGUCCGAUAGGGACAGAUCCUACUCUCCUUACUAUAGGAGGCGGUCCUACUCUCCAUAUGACCGGCGGCGAUCUUAUUCUUCUUUCUAUAAUUGUUACCGAUACCGUUCACAGUCUCCAUACGGCCGCUACAGUCGUUCACCUGUCUAUCAUCGAGGACGAAGGUCGAGAUCCUACUCCUGUGACUCGAGGUCUUGUUCUCCUGACUAUUCUGUUUCACCCUACUAUUGUCGGCGUUACUACCGAUCAAUCUCUCGCUCACCUAGUGCUUCAAGAGUGAGGAGCUACUCUCGCAGCUUCUCUCCUCACAGGAGGAGUUUGAGGAGGAGCUACUCUUGCAGCUUCUCGCCUCCUAGGAGGAGUUUGAGAAGGAGCUACUCUCGCAGCUUCUCUCCUAGGAGGAGUUCGAUGAGGAGUUACUCUCGCAGCUUCUCUCCUCCUAGGAGGAGUUCGAUGAGGAGUUACUCUCGCAGCUUCUCUCCUCCUAGGAAGAGUUCGAUGAGGAGUUACUCUCAAAGCAUCUCUCCUCCUAGGAAGAGUUUGAGGAGCUACUCUCGCAGUUACUUUCCUAGGGGGUCAAGAUUGAGGAGGAACUAUUCUCGUAGCUGUUCGCCUAGGUACAGAUCUAAGAGGAGCCUACCGUGCAGCAGGUCUCCAAGCAGAGGGAGGAGGUAUUCAAGGGAAAGUUACUCUCAUAGUCGGAGUGCAAGCUCUGACUCACGGAGCUACAGUUCGGUCUCUUAGAUCGGCUGCGAGGUAAUCUUAGACAUAACACUGCUGGUUGAAUCCCUUGGACUGUUUAGAGCAACUUGAAUCCAUUUAUUAUUUAUGUGUAGCUUUUUCUUUUGUAUGUGUAGCUUGUUCUCUGGGACUGUUUAGAGAAACUUGAAUCCAUUUAUUAUUUAUGUGUAGCUUUUUCUUUUGUAUGUGUAGCUUGUUCUCUGGGACAGUUACUUCUAUUUGACUGUUAUGCUUCCUGCCGUCUUUUUUUUUUAAACGUGUGUGGGUGUUGCUGUGUGGGUGUUGCGCUAGGGAAGGUUGGUAUUAUUGUGUGUUUGUUAGUUCACACUAGGGUGUUCUUGGUUGUGUUGGUUGUUUCCAUUUGUGUCUAAUUAGUAUGUCCUAUAUUGUAGUUUGUACAAAGUUUUUCUGUUUUGCCUAGGAAGUUUUUGACAUGGCCCAUGAUAGGAAGUCCAUGGACCUGGUAGUUUGUCGGUGCUAUCGAAACUAGCUAAAUCUCUAUAUAGGUUUCUGAAAUGCGAUGCAUAUUAGAAGAAUAGUUUUGAGAGGGGGCGUUGACCUGCUAGUUAGUUGUGCUAUUGGAACAAGCUUAAGCUAUAUAAGUUGGUCAUCUUUUCUCUUUUCCUUUGUUUGUCAUCUGGAAUUUGUGCUUCACUUUUAUACAGUGCUUUCACUUUGGUGCUACCAAACAAAAGUUUUCAGAUAAACCCUACCAUGUUGCGUUGUAGGAUUGUGCUCUUGCUUAACGGAUUUCAGGAUUUUAGUAUCUGUACGGUGAAGUUUUGAUAUGAGAAAUUUUCUGUUAAUCCAGCGGCUACUGCUACUAUUGAAGGUUUGUGUUUAAUUAUUCUUUCCCUAUUGUAAUGUUUCGUGAAGGAGUUGAGAAAUUCCGUGUGGGUGGGAAUCACGCAUCUUUCAUAAAAGCAGCACAUUGGCUGCUUUAACUGGCUUGUGCGGUUAGGGUCCGUUGAAACACUGGAAUACGCUGCAUUUGGCCGCGGAGCAGACGAAGAAUUUAAUGGCGUGAGACGGUAGGAAGGUGAGCAGCUGUCUUUGUCAGUACUCUGAAACUUACUUCUAGGACGGCUCUUGUGGUGGGAUGAGAGUGGAGGAAUAGUUUUGAGUUUGAAUUUGUGUCUCCCUCUACCCCCUUGGGGAAUCGCGGUCUCCUUUAUGAAUUCCAUCAUUGUAAAUACCUAUCGGGCUUGAUUUGGAGCGGUUGCAGUACUGUGGGACCUACGUGAACACGAGUUGUCUUUGUAAAUUUGAUUUAUUUAUUCCUGAAUUUGUUUGAUUCAAUUCCGCAUUAACUGUGCGAUGGCUUGUUUUGGGACGGGGCGGUGCGACUGGAAAGUACAAAAAGAAUUGCCUAUCCCCACAAUGGUGUGAAUUUGACACCCUAGAUUUCCAUUUAUGGAAAGAGUAGGUGAGGUGAGGACCCACCGCUGGUGCCGUGCUAUGCCGUUCUUUCUUUUGCGUCUGUUCUCAUUCAUUCUUUAUUGUGUGCCGUAGCUGUCGUUUGCAGCAGCAGCAGCUGCAGACCACCACCGAGAAGCCAACACUAAUUGCAUAUCAAUGAAUGAUUGGAACUUGUUAGUUUGUAUCCGAGAUCUCAAGUUCCAAUUUUUAUUGACUUAUAUUUUCAGCUAUAUUUAUUUUUAAAUGAAAUAAACAAAACGAUUAGCAUAUUUUCUAUCUCUAAAGAAACGAAUGAUUGAAACUAUAGCCCCUCGCGUCAAUAUAUAUACAGGUGAAAAUGAUCCAACAGCUAAAUUUGAUCGGCAAUUUAGGAAAAUAAAAAUCUCUCCUUAAGCGGUUAUGAGGCUUUUUUCUUUUAUUUUUUUUUUGAGAAAAUAUAGCAUACUACCGCUUCCUUGAUCUGAAAUUUACUGGUUUGAGAGCCGGCUCCCGUCCUAAUCAUCCCAUCAAUAAUAUUUACCGAUAAAACUAAUAGUGUAAUCCACCAACUAUUAUGUUGUACCUAGUGGGAUCACUGAUUCUGGGAGCAUUCGCGUGAACCCAGUUCCUAGAGAUGUAGCUAGAUAUUUCGUUUGCUCUCCCCGUUGUAUCCUUGUUAAGUUUUAAUUUAGGCAUGUUUCCUCACUUAAAGAGCACAUGUCAAACGCCAGUGGCACAAGUUACAAACGGGAGUGAAAAUUUGGAAUAGAUUCCCCUUGCCAAGGGCUUUUUACCAAGGGCAAGGAACCAAUCACAUGUCGCUGUUUUAAUAUGUAGGUUGCCAUUGGAGGGGUUGUAUUGGGAUCCAUGUGAGCUGCGACCUAAAGAAAACAACAAAGAGGGCACAUUUUUUUGCUUUGAUUAUUUCGCAUGAGGUGGACGGUGGACCCCAUUUGGAUGGAGCAGUAGAAUAAGCCAAAUUAAGCUCCCACGCCAACUUUUUAACAGACUAAUUAAACAAUAAGCCACAUCAUCACAGUUAAAAGAGUUUGACAGCCCCUUGGUAGGCCGCCCCGCCUCAUGCUGGCUGGAAGGGUCAUUAUUCGGGAGUAUUCUUAAUAACAGCUUUGACCCUUAAGUUUUCAAAAUAUUCACGUCACGUCCUUCAAUAAUUAUAUAUUUUACAAGUCGCUUUCGCAAAAGUGUUAAACUGGCCAUUAAUAUAUUACUUGUGACUUUCUCCUUUUCUUUUCUUGCUAUAACGUGUUAAGAUAUCUAAUUAAUACUAAAUGGAGCCGUUGUUCUGACCAUAAAGUUUCAUUUAUUAAAGCUCAUAACAUAGUAAACAGAUCAUAAAAAAUUUAUAGUAUAGUAUGGAUUGUACUUUCUUUUUUUCUUAAUUAGUGUCACUUUUGUACAAAGCUAAAAUUUUCAAGAAAAAUUAAAAAAACUCCAGAAACAAGAAUUCUUUUUAUGUAUAAAAAUAGAUAGAAUGAUUAAUUUUGUUGUUUAGCCCUCUUAGGUCGAGACCGACAUAGUUUACUCCGGAGUGAAUAGAGAUGCUUGUAAUAGAAACUGGAUUAAGAAUGGCAGUUUGAUUAUUUAGAUUUUUCUCUUUUUUGGUGGUCCGGCUUGUAUAUUAAACAAAGUGGCUGCAAACGCGAUCAAUGCCCAAUCACAGGUCGCCACGGUCCUUUUUCUACUUUGGAUCUCAGCGGGGGGAACUGACAAUAAAAAUAGCGAGGCAACCUUGGGGAAGGUACAGAUCAGGAGACUCAGAUAGAUACGUUCGUCGAGGCUCUUCCCUCUCCCCCGUUCCACUUUAGUAGUUCCUCAAGCUUAGAGAUAUAAGGUGAGAAUAAAAGUCUUAAUUCCUUUUAUUUAUUUAUUUAUUUAUUUAUUUUGUGUCGACGUCUUCGGUGAUCUGCUCCCUCUGUCUCCGUACUGUCUAGCCUGCUUUCGUUUUCCGUCUCCAUUCUUCUAUCAACGUUUUCCAGUCUAGUCUUUUUUCUGGGCUUGUAAUUGCUGGUUUUCAGAUCUGAUGGCUGCGGCCCGUAUAAAUCAUUGCUGUGCUCCAGUAAUUCUUAUCUGAGCGAAGUACUCCUCUUUAGAUUAUAGGAUUCUCUACUCAUCUUUAGAUAGUUGAGAAUAUUUGAUUGGCGGAGUUUUUUUGAUUUUUUUUUGGUUUGAGCUAUUCAUUUGAGCGACGAUUUAUUCCCACCAAUUCAGCGAAGAUAUUCUGGAUGAGAUUUGCAAUCUAAUCAUCAUCAAGAUGCCUCCUUUUCUGAUUUUCGAAGAUUACUCGUGCGUAUUUGCCAUUUGGAGCGGUGGAUAUUGUUCGGACAGAUUCCAGCUAUUACAGCUUCUUUGUCUCUAAACAAAUAUAAAUAUAAAGAUAUAUAUAUAUAUAUAUAUUGUAGAGGAGAGGAGUAACUUUACUUGUCUUCGUGCGCGACUGCCGGCAUAGUUAAGGCGUGGAUCAGAAGAUGGAGUCGUGGAUGGAAGUUCUCCCGCCGGCGGCGACGGAUCCGUUCCUCUGCAGCACAGUCGGUGGCUUCGGGCCGAGGAGGAGCUGCAGGUGGACGCGGGAGGAGAACAAGCUGUUCGAGGACGCGCUGGCGCGCUUUGAGGGGGACUCGCAGGACAAGUGGGAGAAAGUGGCGGCCGCGAUCCCGGGGAAGACGGUGGGGGACGUCGUGAGCCAUUACCGCAAUCUGGUUGCGGACGUGAGGCAGAUCGAAGCCGGCCUCGUGCCCUUCCCCGGCUACAAUUCUUCGGCGCCGCCUUUCACUCUGGAGUGGGAGAAGCAGCCGUACUCGUCAUGCCUCCUCGGUGUCGGAGGCAGGAGAUCUUCCUCUUCCUCUUCCUCGGGAAGGUCGUCUUCUGAUCAAGAGAGGAAGAAAGGAGUCCCCUGGACCGAAGAGGAGCACAGGUGAGCGAGCUGCCUUCUUUUCCAAAUUUUUUCACUUGUACAGACACAGAUAAGGGGCCUUCCUUUUCCAUGCAAAAUUAGAUAUCUUGACAUGCGACAUGCUCCUUCUUAAUUUGAUCGCAUCAGAGUUACUGAAAACUAGUCUACUAAUAGCUGCGGCUUGUUGCGUCCCUAACCACAGGGGGCAAAAUAAUUGAAUGCAAAGUCAUGAUAUUUGUAUUAUGCUAACUGUAAAUAAUGUACUUACUUUUUCAAUGUUAUCCGAUACGGAAUUAAAUGAAUAGUAGACUAUAAUUAAUGGAAAUUAUCACAUAUGCUUUAGGCCUUCGAACAGACUGAUUUGUUGCUACAGAGGACUUCUUUUUUUUUUAUGGUGCGUGUUGGCUUCUUCGUUGCUGUCUUUUUUUCUUUUCUUUUUUUAUGGUCUCAGACAAAUAGUGAAUACUGAUGAUAAGAAAAUGUUUCUUGAUUGGUUUUAGGCUGUUUUUAAUGGGUCUUCAAAAAUAUGGGAAGGGAGAUUGGAGAAGUAUAUCUCGGAAUUUCGUGAUGACUCGGACCCCAACCCAAGUGGCCAGCCAUGCUCAGAAGUAUUUCAUCCGGCUCAAUUCAGGUGGCAAGGACAAGAGGAGAUCGAGCAUACACGACAUCACAACCGUCAAUUUGCCAGACAGCAGGCCUCAAUCACCAUCUCAGCCAUCCAUUCUCGGCGCAAAAUCAAAUUUAGCAGCUCCACCUCCAAUGCCGGGCCACAUCUCACCUACAAUCGAUGCAAAUAAGCAACACCAUGAAGCAGCAAAUAAUGCCUUUAACUCCUGUGCUCAUACUACUAAUAAGUACUCCAUGCAACCAUCUUUUGGAGCAUCGCCGUAUGGGACGAAGCUACAUCCUCAAAUUUCCCAAUGUGGCCCUCUCAAUGACUCUAUGGUUGGCGACCACAGUAUGCUGUUUCAGAUGCAAUUCAGUCAGCCUCACUCUCAUGGAUAAGAAUAGGCCAAAUAUAUCUAUAUAUAUCAUAUUUAUAUGCAGUCUAUAUAUCCUUUUAGUUUUGAUCAAAGGAGAGGGAAGGAUUGUUUAAAAAUAAAAAGUAGGACUUUUCUCAAAAUUAAAAUGAAAGGUAAAAUUGUUUUAAUUGGGUGAUAUAGUCCCUUGUCUCCUCUGUAUAAUGUGCCACUCACAUAUACGGAUUGAGAGAGAGAGAACAACUAAAUGAACAUGAAAUUGUGGUUAAUUAUUUGUGCUUAGAAUGCAUGCUUCUGCUUGACCGGUCUUUGCUAUACUACUAUUGAGGCAUGAUUGAGUUGAAGACGCAUGUAUGUAUCAACGUAUGGGCUACUUCUGAAACCUUUUAAAUUGUGUAUAUAUAAUCUCUUUACCUAGCCGGAAGUUUUCAUCAACUUUUAAACGUGCAAUGCCUGCGAAUAUCACUAUGAUCGUAUUGUGUAUCCAUGUUUACAUUUCCGAAAUUUAACCUUUUAUUUAUGCUUUUCUCCAGUUAGAGAAUUCUGCUGCAUGUCAACUUCACUUUUAUAACUUGUAAAAGCCUAUAUUUAUGUAUAUAGUUAUGAGUUCUAUGAUCUUUGGCUUUAGUCAAUCAAGUUUCUGUACAACCUCUGUUAAUAAUGCUAGGCCACUAAACAAUAGUUGGAGAUGAGUUGGACUUCCACUAGCUGGGCAUCUCAUGUAUACUCUCUCUCUCUCUCUCUCUCUCUUUGGGAGGAACGUAAAUAGUGAACAAAUCCUUAACGAAUUCCAGGACGUCAUAGAAUCGAGGAGCAACUCCUGUCUAAGCCAGCCAACUUGUGUACGUUCCUCUUUUCUUCAUGCAAAGUUACUCAUUUAAGGUGUGCAUACUAUUACACAAAAUGUGUGCUGCAUGUGGAACCUUUAAAUGUGAUAGUGUUGACAGAUGCAGUUUACAUUUGAGAAGGGAAAUGUGCAUAUAUACUCUGGGUAGCACAAAAUUUAACUUCACAGUCUCCAAGUAAUAGCAGAAACUUGUUUCCUUCCGCCAGUGCUAUUCUUAAGUUUACACAGUUUUGUCUCAAAAGCGAGUUAAAAGCAAGCGACGGCACUCAUACACUAGCAUUUAUAAAAUUCUCCUUAAUUACCUUUUAUUAACAUUCUUAGUGGUAUUAUCUGCUAAACAUUUGUUUCUUUCUCUCGUGGAUUUGGUUGGGUUCAAGAGUGAUUAUAAUAAGUUAGCAUCUUGCACGAAGCCAACCUAUCUCUGCUCUGCAGCAUGGGUUUAAGCGGGUGAUGUGUUUCCCACUUGUUUUAUAGAGAGUAGAUAUUCACCAUGCUGAGAAUUGUUAAUGUACUAACCCAACUGUUUGAUUCACAAGCGAGCAAAAACAAAAGGUUUCUGCUGCUGCUGUGGCUGCAACUAUAAAUCAUGCAAAAGCAAACCAUAUUUAAAAAAAAUAAAAAUCGUUUUGAUGCGAAGAGAGGAUCAAUUAGUAUAUUUGCAUAAUUAUCUUCGAAUUAAGUUUAGGGUCGGCUCAGAGAGAUAAUAUAUAGGGCGCACCCCGUAUAGCAAGGAUUUAAGUGCCGUGGCACAGGAUCGUGCCGGAAACUUGCCGGCACGGUACGGCACGGUGCGUGCCGAGUCGUGCCGAUACAUGCCGGUCAAAAAAAUUCUUGUGUGCUGACACAUAAGAGCAUGAAAUAUUUAUUUUCUUUAGCAACAAAAUAUUCUAACUAUUUAUUAUGUCUUUUUAUUACAUUUUUUGAACUUUAUUGAGGAAAUUACUUGCUAAUUUAAAGAAUAGAGGGUUUUGAGCUGUGCUAUCGGCACGGGGUUUGUAUCGUGCCGGUAUCUUGUUGGCACGGUACGGCACGGUGGAUACGGCCCGUACCAACGGGCACUUAAAACCUUGCCGUAUAGACAGUAAGCCCCACCUGCAGGCUGCAGGUGCAACUGUGCAAAUUAACAAUGCCGGCCCCGCCUGCAGGAGGGAGAAGUAGAAAACUAGAAUCAAAUGCAACACGAGCCCAUGACCGUGAGUGGUGGCCCUCCUCCAAACUUUGUUCUGGUAAAUGACAAAACUAUUUGCUUUCUUCCGGAAGGAUGCGGCACCUUUUUCUGCAAGUUGCACAAGGAGCAUCGAUGCUCCCUUAGACAAUAUCGGUCCAACAUCUACCUACCUUUGAGCAUCUAUCAAUGUCCUCCCAGCGCCGAUGGCCCCCGUACCAUUGUGUUAACUAUAAAAAUAUUUAUACAUCCUUUUCUCACAAUUUAAGCUCUUUUAAAGUACGAUGAUUAUUUUAUAUUAUUUCACACAUUGAACGAUGGUACCUCGAUCGUGUAGAACGCAGGCACGCCUAAACAUCGCUCCAAUGCAUGUAAUAUCAUGAACGCUAAAAUUCACCGCGGAGAAUAUCUUCCACGGAGAACUAUUUGACUAGUACCGUUACAUUGAUUACGCUCGCGACUAUCACACCGUUACAUUGAUUACGCUCGCGACUAUCACCCAACAGGUUUAUCCUGGUAAGCAAGCAUCAUAUCAUUUUAGAUUUGCCAUGUCACUUUUUCUUAAAAACAGAGAAGAAUGAUUGUUAUCGAUAGUCACUGCAGAUGUAAUAAUUACUUAAAAUCUGCAAAGUAGAUAGCAUCAAAGGCAAUUCACGAGAAAGUUAGUAUAAUAAAAACAAUUAUCUGUAUCCUCUUAGAUUCAAUAGAUUUGGCGUGAAUCGUAGCGAGCGAUGGCUGCUGCUGCUGUUGCCGCUGAGUCGCGCCUGGGGAAUGUGCCGGUGGUUGAAGGCCCAGUGCGGCAUUUGGGCCUCUGGGUGGAGUGCACGGACCCAGUAAUGUUUGGGGAUCAAGGCACGUCGUGGGGCGAGCCCUGCUUCAUCAUGCUGUUGCUUGGCCCACUCGGCCCAGAAACAACGGCCUGUUCCUCCCUGACGGGCGGGCCCCACGAACUCCGGAUGGACAAUGAUGAAUCGGUGGAAGGAGCCAUACAAGUAUACAACUCUCCGUGCGAUUGGUAGUUGGCUUUAUUAAGUUUCUGCGACAGUGACGCUCUGAUCCGUUGUAUCAUGAUAUUGGUUUCUUUUUUUUUUUUUUCCCCCAUCCUUUGACAUUUACUUUUCUCUGAUGUUUAUAACUUUAUGUGUUAUUAUUUUUCCAUGGAAUUCGGGGUAUACAUCCAGUUUGCUUAAUGAAAUCAAGUUUAUGUUGCGUCAUGAUAUAAUUUUCAUCCCUUUUCUUGCUGUCCAAGUUUUAGGUCUUGAAUUUAAGAUAGAAUUACUGUAUAUUUCAACACAACUUACCUAAUUUUAUAAUAAAACUAUCAUGUUGAAAAUUCAUUAUUUAUUUUUGUGUACAUUUGUAUAAAUAUAUAAAAUUUUAACAGUAUCGUUUUCUAACCUAUAGCAAGUGACAAAAGGUUUGGUCGUUAGUAUCCGAGAUUCAAAUUUAAAUCCUAAUUGAUUCACAUUUCCAGCUAAGUUUAUUUCUAAAUAAAAUAAACAAAACGAGUAGCGUACUAUCUAUCUCUAAAAAAAAAAAAAAAAUCAAAAUUUCAGAUAAAAGAUUUUACUUGCAUUUUGGAAAAAAAUCUAAACUUGGCAAGCCGACCAUAAGCGAGCCGUAGUUUGUAAGUAGUACGGUUCAAACUCAACUCUAUCACGACCCACGACGAAGCCUCUCUCCCAACCCCACCCUCUCCCUCUCUCUCUCUUCUCUCUCUCUCUCUCUCUCUCUCUCUCUCUCGCACGACUCGCAUCGCCGUUAAGUCCAUGAGCGUCCCGCUCUGUCCGUUCCAUUCGUCGUCCUCUUCUUCUUGCGCUGUUCUCCUCUCAAUUUUCUCAAUACUCUAAGCAAGUGAGGAUCGGUACUCGGCUUUACUUCUUCUUUUUCUUUUUUUUUGCGGUAAUUCAGUAGAUCUAGUCAGUUAUUUUCGUUUUUUUGUUUAUUUUUUCUGGAGGUGAUAGUCUUAAUCUAUUAUCAGCUUGCUUUCUUUGCUUUGCUAGAUAUCUUUGGGAAGAGGCGGUUCUUCGCGAGGUGCUUUUCUAUGUAAUCCUUAGGAUAAAGUUGCUUCUUAGUUAAAGUUCUUUUGAUCUUCUUUAAAAUAGCUUUCUCGUCUCAGUGUACUCGAAGUGAGAAGCCUAAGAAGAUCAUUCCAUAGAAAAGUGUUGUUGGAUGUCAGAGUUUUAUUUGGCUGCUACCGUAUGAGAGAUUUUAGGCAGGGAAGUGUUCGAGCGAGAAGUUUUCGGACUAAAUUGAAAUUUCGGGCAGACAGUUACUAAUCAUCAAUUUACCCUUUUUUUGGUUCUUUAUUUGGCAAAGGUGAAUAUGGUAAAAGCAGAUUAAAGGUUAUGUGAAACAUCUAAGAAGGCUCAAGGGAGUUAGCUUUGUUAAUUUUAUUGAAAGAGGAUUAAUAUUAUUUAAAAUAAUAUUUUAUUGAAUCAAUAUUAUUGACAGGAGGAUUAGUACGAAUGAGAAUUAAUAUUAUUGACAUGAGGAUCAUAAGGUUUGGAGGUAUAUUAUCAGUGUAACAAGAGCUACCAAAAGAGGGUUGAGAAGAAGAUGCUAAAUGCGCUUGCUUAUAAGAAUGGUAUAGAUUAAUUUUCUACUGUAGUAAAAAUGUAUUAUAUGGCCAUUAUGUAAUAAUUAUUACUAAUCACUAUUACUAAUCUGUUAUAGCCACGAUGUUAAUUGAUAAAACUACAGGGUUACAUCUUAUGGAAUCAGAUAUAAAACUUUUAAGUUAAGGAAAUUACACGUGAAAUUAUACUAAUAUAUAAUGUAGGUAACAUGUUAUGCAUCAUACUAGUACUUUGUAAGAUAGCGUUCAUUUGGGGGAUAGCAUGGGUAUAGUGGUAGUUUUACCAUCUGGGUGGCAAUUGGUUAUAUUUGAAUUGGGAAUUGGGUAGGAAAAUUAUCAGUAGCGUAGCCCCGGCCCUCGGCCUCCGGCCCUGAGGAUUGCAAUUCCCUUGGUUAUGGUGUACCUGAGAUAUCUACAUGAUUAAGCGACUAUCUGAGGUGACAAACCAAACACAAUGGGGGUAGCAUUUAGAACUUGAAUUCCUCUAAGGAUAUUUACUAUUCCCGACAUAGAUAUUCCUUAAGCAAACACUACCUUAGAGUCUAUUUGGAUGCUACAAUAACUUAUCAGUCAUAUAUCCUGUGCUGUACUCAAGAGUAGUUUGUUUGGCAAUUAUUGAGAGACAAAAAGACAUCUCUAUUGAUCAAGAAAAGGACAAGUUAUCCCAAUUUUGAUUUUUAUGAUAAGUUUUUCAUAGGUGGUAUAUAUCUUCAAAUAUCAUGAUACUAAAGUCAAACUUCAUGUCAUAAUUACAAAAGAAGAGCCCUAACCAAGGUGACCAGUGCCCAGAUAACCUGUUCUAACAUCUAAACAGGCCAUUAGGACUUAUCUGGAUGCUAGGAUAACUUAUGCUCCAUAUUUCCUCUCCUUUACUUUAGGACCAUUUAUUUCUUGGUUGUUUGGAACUUUGGAUGCAAUAAAAGAUGUUUCAAAGUAAGGAGUAGUAAGGAGUAAUUAAUCUCUUUGUUUAUGAAUAUUAUAAAUCAUCUCACCAGGUUCAAUUUCGGAGGAAAAAAAAAAGCAAAUGCUAAAUCAUCUCUGAGGUGAAGUACACACCAUCUGAAAUCAUGAUUUUGGGAUCUUUGCAUUGGAUUGUAAUUUUCAAAAAACUAUUUCCAUCCAGCAAAAGUUCCCACCAUAUAACUUGUUCUAACAUCCAAACAAACCCUCAAUAUGUGCUGAUCAAAAGCGAAUUUAGCUUGUACUGAGAAGGAUAAAUUGCAUUAUUAGUCAAUAACUAAUUGCUUGAGUUUCACUGUGGCCCCUAAACUUUGAUCCCUCACAUUAAGGGAGCAAAAAACGAGCCCCCUCAUGCAGCAACAGAUUAAACUCGAGCCCCCUAAUGUGACUAAUUAAAGUUGAGGGACAAAAGUCAUACUUGGCAAAUUGUUUAGGAACACAAUAAUAAUUUCUCCUAUCUAAAAUUUUGUAUAUUUAUCCCGACAAUCUAACACUUCCAAUGAAGUUCUUAACUGUUGUUUAUUUAGGUAAGUCCCAUAGCUUUAAUGUUAUUUAUAUGGAGUGGAAUGUUUAAAUAUAUUAUCAGUAGCUUGUGCUAUUGACCAGCUUAACUGCAGACCUCACUAACAGCUCAUUUACUUGUAGGAGUUAUGUUUGUUACCAUGACACGUCAACUAUAACUAGAAAGUAACGGAUAUGAUGAGGAUAUGAUGCUUGAAUAUUUAGGCUACUUUUCACACACCUUUGAAUGCAAGUUCUUGCUAAGCCGAUCACUUGGAUAUUCUUAUGGUCCUACAUGUAUGCAUGUUGAUGUGAAAAAUUUCAUGUCAUUCUCUCACUCUAUAAACAAUUUCUCGGAUUAAAUAAUUUAUUUUCUAUUUAAACUUUUAACUCCCUUUGUAUGGAAUCUCUAGAGGAGACUGGAAUUGAUUGUCUCUACAUUUCUUGUUUGCAACAUUUUGUGCGCACCUAACAUGUUUCGUCAGCAGGUGGCUAUGGAGACAAAAGCAGCUGUAUACCAUGAGAAGCAGAGGUUGCAGUUUUGCCUGCUGCAUGCACUCAAUAACCUUAUGCAGGUUGUAUUAGUUUUUAUUUUUUUCUCUUUUAUCAUUUAGUCUAGAAGUUUUCUUUUCUUUUAUCAACUACAUGCAUCUUAAAAAUAUAUGGAUUUAGAUUGUCCAGCAUUAUAUAUUAUAGUGUAACCUUUACUUUUCAUGCACUAAAUUUAAUAUUGUUCUCCUUCAGUAAGCUUUCUUGCUUCCGUCGGAACAUGAGGAAUCUUAUAUGAUUUUCACUAGCUGUUCGAUUUUUCAGUUCUUGUAGCUCUUCGAGAAGGGGCCGUCUUCCUUUUUUAAGAGUGUUUAGAAAAGCAUGAGAGUCUUCUACAUGGGUUGAUAAUAUUUUUAUGGUUCAGGCGAAGGACUCUUUCACCCGAGCAGAACUUGAUGUUAUUGCUGACAAGCUUGUUCUUGAUGAUCCGAGCAAGGAGCAGUGGACUCCUCUAUCGCUAAUCUUUAGGCCUCACCAUAA
Molecule: long non-coding RNA, 20021 nt
Filed under: Ananas comosus (pineapple)
Lineage: Eukaryota; Viridiplantae; Streptophyta; Magnoliopsida; Poales; Bromeliaceae
Description: long non-coding RNA (ACOM_LNC007998)
Source: RNAcentral